Molecule: ribosomal RNA, 253 nt
Filed under: uncultured bacterium
Lineage: Bacteria
Description: partial 16S ribosomal RNA
Rfam family: Bacterial small subunit ribosomal RNA
Source: RNAcentral
UACGUAGGGGGCGAGCGUUGUCCGGAUUUAUUGGGCGUAAAGAGCGUGUAGGCGGCCAGGUAGGUCUGCUGUGAAAACUCGAGGCUCAACCUCGAGACGUCGGCGGAAACCACCUGGCUAGAGUCCGGAAGAGGAGAGUGGAAUUCCUGGUGUAGCGGUGAAAUGCGCAGAUAUCAGGAAGAACACCCGUGGCGAAGGCGGCUCUCUGGGACGGUACUGACGCUGAGACGCGAAAGCGUGGGGAGCGAACAGG